GCGCCUGCUGCCGUGGACUCAACAUUUGUGCUCCAGGAGAACAAGAGCUUAUCGCACUGGCUAAGAACCGCUUCACUCAGAAAGACACAGAGGACGAAGUUCGAGAGGUCAUCAGGAACAACCUACAUUUACAAGGAAAGUCAGAGGACCCAGCAAUUCGUUGGCAGAUGGCUCUGUACAGAGACCUCCCAAACCACUAUGAGGAUACUACUGACCCAGAGAAGACUGUGGAGAGAAUCCUGGAUAUUGGUCAUGUCCUCUUCCACCUGGAGCAGGUGGAGCAUCCUCAGCGCAGUAAGAAGGCUGUGUGGCACAAACUGCUUUCAAAACAGAGGAA
Oreochromis niloticus (Nile tilapia) is the source of this 337-nucleotide long non-coding RNA. RefSeq lists it as uncharacterized. The transcript has 4 exons. The record is from RefSeq and is a predicted model, not a curated record. Lineage: Eukaryota; Metazoa; Chordata; Actinopteri; Cichliformes; Cichlidae.